Molecule: unclassified non-coding RNA, 335 nt
Filed under: soil metagenome
Description: partial contains 5.8S ribosomal RNA, internal transcribed spacer 2, and large subunit ribosomal RNA
Rfam family: 5.8S ribosomal RNA (bases 1-120)
Source: RNAcentral
GAUGAAGAACGUAGCGAAAUGCGAUAAGUAAUGUGAAUUGCAGAAUUCAGUGAAUCAUCGAAUGUUUGAACGCACAUUGCGCCCGCCAGUAUUCUGGCGGGCAUGCCUGUUCGAGCGUCAUUUCAACCAUCAAGCCCCCGGCUUGUGUUGGGGACCUGCGGCUGCCGCAGGCCCUGAAAACCAGUGGCGGGCUCGCUAGUCACUCCGAGCGUAGUAGUUACAUCUCGCUCAGGGCGUGCUGCGGGUUCCGGCCGUUAAAAGCCUUAUUUACCCAAGGUUGACCUCGGAUCAGGUAGGAAGACCCGCUGAACUUAAGCAUAUCAAUAAGCGGAGGA